GACAAAUAGGACUCUGGGGCCCAUGCCUGGAUGUUCAUGGUAAAUUUUGGGCCUUUGGGCGGCUGUAACUUACUAACUUGUAUGAUCUUAGCGGGCGGACUCCGACGUUAGUCCUAGGCCGACGGGGCCUCCUACGGGCCCAAUUAAUUGAGACGUUGGAUUCGAGGCUACGCGAAUCUCAACGAAUUGCCAGUUCCCGUCCUCAUCCAGUGGAAGGCAGCUGUGCCAGCUCAAAUGCUCGAAUCAGCAGACGUGGGAAUCUCGGCAGGGCGCCGCAGGGAAGAGGAGGCCGAGCGCUCUACGUCUGCCAUGGCGAGCUCUUCCGACCCCGACAAGCUCAUGAGCAAAGCCGACAAACUGUAAUUAGGCUUGCACGGAAGCUACCAACAGGUGAUCUGCAGGCCAUCAAGAAAUCUGACGAUGGCGAGGAAUCCUUGGACGAGGAUGACCUGACUUAAAACGAUCUCCCGAGCCAAAAGGUGCAGAGAACAAACGUCAUAGUUUGCCAUCGGUGGGGGAACAACUGUAAAAAGAAGUUAUGCGAGUUACAUACUAAAAACUUGUGGGCAGCAUUCCCAUAUCUAUAAACAUGAAAUUUGUAGGGCCCAAUUAUGUUGUAUCCGUACUGGUGGUUUGGUGUUACCGAAACUUAGUGGUAUGUUUAUGGUUUCUUGUACUACAUGAUUCUUGCAAAUCCAGCAUGGUGUAAAAUUAAUAUGUUGGCCAAUCAUUACUCCUACAUUUGUA
Molecule: long non-coding RNA, 747 nt
Organism: Zea mays
Lineage: Eukaryota; Viridiplantae; Streptophyta; Magnoliopsida; Poales; Poaceae
Exons: 2
Source: RefSeq, a predicted model, not a curated record